Small nuclear RNA from Lutra lutra (Eurasian river otter), 142 nucleotides. RefSeq annotates it as U4 spliceosomal RNA. Lineage: Eukaryota; Metazoa; Chordata; Mammalia; Carnivora; Mustelidae. The record is from RefSeq and is a predicted model, not a curated record. The transcript has a single exon.
AGCUUUGCGCAGUGGCAUAUCGUAGCCAAUGAGGUUUAUCCGAGGCGCGAUUAUUGCUAAUUAUAAAUAUACUGCCCUGUAAUUCAUAAUAGUUAAUUUUUUUAAAAGAUUUUAUUUAUUUAUUUGACAGAGAUCACAAUUA